CUUAGAGUUUGAUCCUGGCUCAGGAUGAACGCUGGCGGUAUGCUUAACACAUGCAAGUCGAACGGACUCUUCUUAGUUAGUGGCGGACGGGUGAGUAACGCGUGAGAAUCUGGCUUCAGGUUCGGGACAACAGUUGGAAACGGCUGCUAAUACCGGAUGUGCCUUAUGGAGAAAGGUUUAUCACCUGUAGAUGACCUCGCGUCUGAUUAUCUAGUAGGUGUGGUAAGAGCGCACCUAGGCGACCAUCAGUAGCUGGUCAGAAAGGAUGAUCACCCACCCUGGGACUGAAACACCGCCCACACUCCUAGGGGAGGCAGGAGUGGGGAAUUUUCCGCAAUGGGCGAAAGCCUGACAGAGCAAUACCGCGUGAGGGAGGAAGGCUCUUGGGUUGUAAACCUCUUUUCUCAGAGAAGAAUGAUGACGGUACCUGAGGAAUAAGCAUCGGCUACCUCCGCGCCAGCAGCCGCGGUAAUACGGAGGAUGCAAGCGUUAUCCGGAAUGAUUGGGCGUAAAGCGUCCGCAGGUGGCAAUGUACGUCUGCUGUCAAAGCGUCUGGCUCAACCAGAUAGAGGCGGUGGAAACUACAUAGCUAAAGUAAGGUAGGGGUAGAGGUUAUUCCUGGUGU
This 625-nucleotide ribosomal RNA is filed under the name uncultured bacterium. RNAcentral's name for it is "bacterial SSU rRNA". It matches the Rfam family "Bacterial small subunit ribosomal RNA", at positions 1 to 676 of the family's 1533-position model. The record is from RNAcentral.